Molecule: ribosomal RNA, 510 nt
Filed under: uncultured bacterium
Lineage: Bacteria
Description: partial 16S ribosomal RNA
Rfam family: Bacterial small subunit ribosomal RNA
Source: RNAcentral
GACGAACGCUGGCGGCGUGCUUAACACAUGCAAGUCGAACGAAGAGCGAUGGAAGCUUGCUUCUUUACAUCUUAGUGGCGAACGGGUGAGUCACGCGUAAUCAACCUGCCCUUCAGUGGGGGACAACAGUUGGAAACGACUGCUAAUACCGCAUACGAUCUAAUCUCGGCAUCGAGGAUAGAUGAAAGGUUGUGUCUACAUGUAAGCUAUCACUGAAGGAGGGGUUUGCGGCUGCUUAGGUAGGUGGGGGGGUAACGGGCCACCCAGGGGAUGAACAGUAGCCCGGCUGAGAGGAGGAACGGGCCCAUUGGGACUGGGACACGGCCCAGACUCCUAAGGGAGGCAGCAGGGGGGAAUCUUCCGGAAUGGACGAAAGGCUGACGGGGCAACGCCGGGGGAGGGAUGACGGCCUUCGGGUUGUAAAGCUCGGUUUAUCGGGGCGAAAGGCCUUCUUGCGAAUAGAGAGAAGGAUUGACGGUACCGGAAUAGAAAGCCACGGCUAACUACGUG